AGGAUGCAGCGGGAAGAGCUGUGAAGCUUUUCUGAACCUUGGCCUGGUGCUUGCACGCAGAGGCUGGGGGGGGGGAGGUGUGGGCGGUGUGUUGUGAUCCAGGCUGGGAAAGCAAGAAGGCAGGGAAGAGCCUACAGACCUGAGAAGAGGGAGACUUGAAGUUGGUGGGAACCUUGAAGGGACUUGGGGCCAGGAGGAGGAGAGAUGAGGCUGACAGUGCUAGUUUUGGGCUGAAGACUGAGAAGUGACUGCAAGUGAAGGGGGAAUUGGUGGUCUGCAGCAGCAGUGGGAAGGGAAAUGAGACCAGAUGGAGAGCAGCCCCACCACUUGCUUUGGAUGCCAGCCAGCCCUGUCAAAUGCUUAACAAGAAUUGCAGGAUUGUGAGAAAUGCUUCACAGAUGUGUGGGAGACACGAAGCUGAAACAGUCUGGCGCUACUGCAGGCACCAACAGACGUUGGGGCGAAGCAGCAAAUCAAUAUAGAAGUGAAUUUGCUGAAUGAAAACAGGCUUUGUUUAUUGUAACAUCAGCAUCAGGACCAGGUUAGAGGUGCUUUCUGUCUUGUGGUGUGCAGAGGAGGCCGGUGGCUGUUCCACUGGAUCUUUCUGGAUUUAAUGUUCAUUAUCGUGGUUACUUGCAACUGUUGGAAGACUAGACUUUGAGAGUCAGUUGGUUCCUUUCUGUUCUAUGUUUCCUUUGCACCUCAGCCACUGAUCUGCUGUAUGACCUUGGGCAAGUCAGGUAACCACCCCUGUGCCUCAGUUCCCAUCACUGUGAGGGAGCUGAGGCUGGAGCGGCACCUUGUACAGCUGGAGCAGCUGAACUGUGCCCCUCAGAAGCAGAAGAUAAUAAAGUUCCUCACUUCUACACACCUAACACACUGAUUUCUGCCUGAACAGACUGCAUCCCACUGGUGCUUCUCUGCUACAGCCCAUCGUGUAAAUUAUUCAGAGGUUUCUGGUGGACUUUGGCAUUACAUAAUGAAAUCUUA
Molecule: long non-coding RNA, 990 nt
Organism: Alligator mississippiensis (American alligator)
Lineage: Eukaryota; Metazoa; Chordata; Crocodylia; Alligatoridae
Exons: 5
Source: RefSeq, a predicted model, not a curated record